Molecule: ribosomal RNA, 324 nt
Filed under: uncultured eukaryote
Lineage: Eukaryota
Description: partial 18S ribosomal RNA
Rfam family: Eukaryotic small subunit ribosomal RNA
Source: RNAcentral
CCCUUAGAUGUUCUGGGCUGCACGCGCGCUACACUGAAGCUAUCAACACGUUUUCCCUCCCUGAGAAGGGCGGGUAACCUUUUGAAUCAGCUUCGUGGUAGGGAUCGGGGCUUGCAAUUGUUCCCCGUGAACCAGGAAUUCCUAGUAGACGUGAGUCAUAAGCUCGCAUCGAUUAAGUCCCUGCCCUUUGUACACACCGCCCGUCGCUACUACCGAUUGAACGUUUUAGUGAGGCAUUUGGACCGACGCAUCUCAGUUUAACCGCUGGUUUGUGUUGGAAAGACUUCCAAACUUGAGCGUUUAGAGGAAGUAAAAGUCGUAACA